Molecule: ribosomal RNA, 428 nt
Filed under: uncultured bacterium
Lineage: Bacteria
Description: bacterial SSU rRNA
Rfam family: Bacterial small subunit ribosomal RNA
Source: RNAcentral
GGGCCCGCACAAGCGGUGGAGUAUGUGGUUUAAUUCGAUGCAACGCGAAGAACCUUACCAGGGUUUGACAUCCUGCGAAUCUCUUGGAAACAGGAGAGUGCCUUCGGGAACGCAGUGACAGGUGGUGCAUGGCUGUCGUCAGCUCGUGUCGUGAGAUGUUGGGUUAAGUCCCGCAACGAGCGCAACCCACGUCUUUAGUUGCCAGCGGGUCAUGCCGGGAACUCUAGCGAAACUGCCGGUGCAAACCGAGAGGAAGGUGGGGAUGACGUCAAAUCAUCACGGCCCUUACAUCCUGGGCUACACACGUACUACAAUGCUACGGACAAAGGGCAGCAAGUUCGCGAGGACAAGCAAAUCCCAUAAACCGUGGCUCAGUUCAGAUCGUAGGCUGCAACUCGCCUACGUGAAGGCGGAAUCGCUAGUAAUCG